GACGAACGCUGGCGGCGUGCCUAAUACAUGCAAGUCGAACGCAGUGGGGACGGGUGAGUAACACGUGGGUAACCUCCCAUCAGAGGGGAUAACAUUUGGAAACAGGUGCUAAACCCAUAGUGAUGGAUGGACCCUGGAUGCAUUAGCUAGUUGGUGAGGUAACGGCUCACCAAGGCCACGGUGCAUACCCGCCCGGCGAGGUGGGUCAGCAACACUGGGACUGAGACACGGCCCAUACUCCUACGGGAGGAAGCAGUAGGGAAUCUUCGGCAAUGGACGAAAGUCUGACCAAGCAACGCCGCGUGAGUGAAGAAGGUUUUCGGAUCGUAAAGCUCUGUUGUUAGAGAAGCGGUAUCUAACCAGAAAGCCACGGCUAACUACGUGCCAGCAGCCGCGGUAAUAC
RNAcentral lists this ribosomal RNA (403 nucleotides) under uncultured bacterium. Its description in RNAcentral is "partial 16S ribosomal RNA". It matches the Rfam family "Bacterial small subunit ribosomal RNA", at positions 28 to 526 of the family's 1533-position model. The record is from RNAcentral.